This is a long non-coding RNA of Brachypodium distachyon (stiff brome), 309 nucleotides long. RefSeq lists it as uncharacterized. The transcript is spliced from 2 exons. The record is from RefSeq and is a predicted model, not a curated record. NCBI's taxonomy places the organism in Eukaryota, Viridiplantae, Streptophyta, Magnoliopsida, Poales, Poaceae.
AGGCGACAACAAACGAGGAGCACAUUGCUAAGAUGUCAGAGAUCAAGAAUGCCUGAAAUGGAAACUUCUUGGACAUGAUGGGAAGUCCCUCAUUUCCAGCACCACUGCCAUAUCCUCCAGGCAGGGUGAAUGCAGCGGCAAAGCAUUAAUCGCCUGUUGCUUGGCUUCAUCAUGAAGAUUAUAAAUAGACGCGGCAUCUCGAGGAUCCGCUUUUAGCAUAAGCAUCCUCACUUCAUUCUGCAUGAAUUCAAUGUAAGGUACGAACUGAGCUCACAACACAAUAAACUGGCUAUUCCACAUUCUUCAUUA